This 23-nucleotide microRNA is filed under the name Echinops telfairi (small Madagascar hedgehog). Its description in RNAcentral is "Ete-Mir-17-P4a_3p* (star (passenger))". Lineage: Eukaryota; Metazoa; Chordata; Mammalia; Afrosoricida; Tenrecidae. The record is from RNAcentral.
ACUGCACUAUGAGCACUUACAGU